RNAcentral lists this long non-coding RNA (2660 nucleotides) under Olea europaea subsp. europaea. Lineage: Eukaryota; Viridiplantae; Streptophyta; Magnoliopsida; Lamiales; Oleaceae. The record is from RNAcentral.
GUUCGCAUCAGUUGGUAUCAGAGCUUUAGCUCCAAAUUAAUUGAAGGUUAUAUCUUUUUUUUAUUUGUUUGAGUCGUUAAUUUUGUUUUCUUAGUUUCUUCUUCUAUUUUAAUUGUUCUUUCUUAGUUCUUCUUCGUUCUUUUUUUUCUUUUCUUCGUUUCGUUGAGUUGUUGGUAGUCUUCUUUCAUCAAGGAGUUAAAAAAAAAGUACAAAAAAAGUUACUGUACAAUUGCUAAUCUUAGCCGGGAGCAAGUGGAGAUGUCUAAUGCUAGGGGGCCGGGUAGGCGUGAAUCUAGGAGAGGAAGGCGAGAUGAGUAUCAUAGUGAUGAGGAUGAUUUUGAUGAAAAUGACUUUGAUAUGGGUCGAGCGAGGCAUAAGGGCGAUAGGAUGGAAAGACGGGAUAGAAAUAACUUGAGAGAUGAAGUAGAUGAAAAUUUGGGGAGUACUAAAAUGGCUAUUCCGCAAUUUAAAGGGAGAAGCAAUCUGGAAGUAUAUUUAGAGUGGGAAAGGAAGGUUGAGAUGAUUUUUGAGUGCUAUAAUUAUUCGGAGGAGAAAAAGGUAAAAUUGGUGGUGCUUGAAUUCGUGGAUUACGCGAUAUCUUGGUGGGAUCAAGUACUUACAUCACGGCGUAGGGAUCGAGAAAGACCAAUUAGCACUUGGGAUGAAUUUAAGGUGUUGAUGAGAAGGAGGUUUGUUCCGACUCACUAUUAUAGGGAAAUCCAUCAAAAAUUGCAAGGUUUGUACCAAGAAUCGAAAAGUGUAGAGGAUUAUCACAAGGAGAUGAAAAUUCUUAUGCUUCGGGCUAAUGUGGAGGAAGAUCGGGAAGCUACCAUGGCACGGUUCUUGAAUGGGUUAAAUCGGAACAUUGUAGAGUUGCAACACUAGGUAGAAAUCGAAGACAUGUUACAUGUGGCAAUGAAGGUCAAGAGGCAAUGAAGAGGAAGGGGACGUCUAGACAACCGUUAGGUACUUCGACUCCUAAUCCAACAUGAAAAUCGAAGUGGGAUGACAACAAUAAAAACGGGGCUGCACCUAGAGGUAAAAAUGAUCGGCAAAAGGGCAAGGAUGAAAACGCUAGCAAACCAAUAUCAAAAUCGGAGGUACAACCGUCGCGCAAUCGGGACAUCAAAUGUUUUAGAUGUUUAGGAACGGGGCAUAUUACUUCUCAAUGUCCAAACAAAUGGGCGAUGGUGUUACGGGAUAAUGGAAAUAUUGUGAGCGAUAGUGAUGGCGAGUUUGAUGACAUGCCGACGUUGGAGGAUGUUAGUGAAGAAGAAAAAGUUGAACUGCCGAUUGGGGAUCUACUAGUCACAAGGCGUGCUCUCACUACUCACGUCAAAGCGGAUGACUUGGAGUUGCAACGGGAGAACAUUUUCCACACUCGAUGCCACGUCAACAAUACGAUAUGUAGUGUUAUAAUUGAUGGUGGUAGUUGCACUAAUGUAGCUAGCGUAUCUCUUGUAGAAAAUUUGGAUUUAACAUUGUUGAGACACCUGAGACCUUAUAAACUACAAUGGUUGAAUGAGAGUGGCGAGGUGAGGGUGAAUCGAAGGGUGCUAAUUAAUUUGUCAAUUGGGAGUUAUAAGGACGAGUUAGUGUGCGAUGUGGGGCCAAUGCAAGCGGAACAUAUUUUAUUGGGGCGACCAUGGCAAUACGAUAGGAAGGCUAUGCAUGAUGGGUAUAAAAAUCGAUAUAGUUUCAUUAAGGAUGGAAGGACUAUUACUCUUGUGCCAUUAACACUGGCGCAAGUCUAUGAGGACCAAUUAAAAUUGAGAAGUGAGGAAGAGAGGAGAGUCAAAGAGUUAGAAAAAAAGAGAGAAAGUGGUGAGUUAGAGAAGAAGAGAGAAAAUGUUGAGAUAGCCACUAGAGAGAAAAAAAAGAGCAAGCACAAAAAAGAAAAGAAAGGGAGUGUUUCGAGAUAAGAGAAAAAACACGAGCGAAUUUCUUUGCAAAAGAGAGUGAUUUGAGGAGGGCGGUAGUUGAGGGAAAAUAGAUUAUCUUGUUCGUUUAUAAGGAAUCACUCCUCAAUUUUGAGGAAACUAACCCACCCCUCCCUAGUUUGGCUAAGUCUUUAUUGCAGGAAUUCGAGGAUGUAUUUCCGAAGGAUGCACCAAGUGGAUUGCUGCCUAUUCGAGACAUUGAACAUCAAAUUGACUUCAUACCCGGAGCUGUCAUUCCAAAUUGACUGGCUUAUCGAAGUAAUCCCGAUGAGACUAAGGAGUUUCAAAGUCAAGUGGAGGAGUCAAUGAGCAAAGGAUACGUGAGGGAAAGCAUGAGUCCUUGUGCGGUACCGAUUUUGCUUGUGCCAAAAAAGGAUGGAACAUGACGAAUGUGCGUGGAUUGUAGGGCUAUCAACAACAUAACGGUAAAGUAUCGUCACCCUAUACCUAGGUUAGAUGACAUGCUUGAUGAAUUACAUGGUGCUUGCAUAUUUUCUAAAAUUGAUUUAAAAAGCGGGUAUCAUCAAAUUCGUAUGCGGGAGGAUGAUGAAUGGAAAACGACUUUUAAAACUAAAUAUGGUUUAUAUGAAUAGUUGGUUAUGCCGUUUGGACUCACAAAUGCACAUAACACUUUUAUGCGUUUAAUAAAUCAUGUUUUAUGUGCUUUUGUGGGAAAAUUUGUUGUGAUUUAUUUUGACGACAUCGUAAUCUAUAACAAAG